AACGAACGCUGGCGGCAUGCCUAACACAUGCAAGUCGAACGAGACCUUCGGGUCUAGUGGCGCACGGGUGCGUAACGCGUGGGAAUCUGCCCUUGGGUUCGGAAUAACAGUUGGAAACGACUGCUAAUACCGGAUGAUGACGUAAGUCCAAAGAUUUAUCGCCCAGGGAUGAGCCCGCGUAGGAUUAGCUAGUUGGCGGGGUAAAGGCCUACCAAGGCGACGAUCCUUAGCUGGUCUGAGAGGAUGAUCAGCCACACUGGGACUGAGACACGGCCCAGACUCCUACGGGAGGCAGCAGUGGGGAAUAUUGGACUAUGGGCGAAAGCCUGAUCCAGCAAUGCCGCGUGAGUGAUGAAGGCCUUAGGGUUGUAAAGCUCUUUUACCCGGGAUGAUAAUGACAGUACCGGGAGAAUAAGCCCCGGCUAACUCCGUG
Molecule: ribosomal RNA, 433 nt
Filed under: uncultured bacterium
Lineage: Bacteria
Description: partial 16S ribosomal RNA
Rfam family: Bacterial small subunit ribosomal RNA
Source: RNAcentral